UCCAGAGGCCUUUUAAGUUCAGGCUCUUAAUUCGAGUUAGGCUUUGUUUGGGAUUGCAGAGAGAUUGCGAGAUUGCGUUACGUGCGGUGAAAAAGUACGUUGAAAAAAAAUUCUGUUUGUUUCUGUACGUAAUAUCGCAUUUCGCAUAUUGUAAUGAAUCAGUUACGAUAUACUUUCUACGGUCCCACCGGAGAACGCAGAAGCAUAUUCCUAUAUGCUUUUUUUUCAACUCCAUUUUAUCUAAUAGCGAUAGAUAGAUUUCAAUAUCAAACUAAACCUUAGUCAAUCUGUUUCAUGGAUUAGCUUGAUAUUCAAUAUGAUAUUCG
Molecule: long non-coding RNA, 326 nt
Filed under: Ananas comosus (pineapple)
Lineage: Eukaryota; Viridiplantae; Streptophyta; Magnoliopsida; Poales; Bromeliaceae
Description: long non-coding RNA (ACOM_LNC006542)
Source: RNAcentral